GUGUGACCAGCGCACCUCACACUCCUGCUUUCCCCACAGUAAUUGACUGUACCCCAAGGAACUGUAAGCCAGGAUGGUUGUGAGCCACCAAGUAGUUGCUGGGAUUUGAACUCAUGACCUCACUGGCUGCUCAGUACAACAAGGGCGUUGUGCCAUCACCAAGGCCUGCUUCCUCCUGCCCAUGCGAUGUUCCUG
Long non-coding RNA from Apodemus sylvaticus (European woodmouse), 195 nucleotides. RefSeq lists it as uncharacterized. The transcript has 3 exons. The record is from RefSeq and is a predicted model, not a curated record. NCBI's taxonomy places the organism in Eukaryota, Metazoa, Chordata, Mammalia, Rodentia, Muridae.